AACAAACUUUAGGGGUGUCCCAUAUUUGUGGGCUGAGAUUAUACCCUCCGAACCUGAUGCAGUUCAUACUGCCGAAGGGAAAAGUAAGAGCUAAGCU
Molecule: non-coding RNA, 97 nt
Filed under: Pseudopedobacter saltans
Lineage: Bacteria; Pseudomonadati; Bacteroidota; Sphingobacteriia; Sphingobacteriales; Sphingobacteriaceae
Also listed under: 1 other name
Description: TPP sequence
Rfam family: TPP riboswitch aptamer (THI element)
About the family: Vitamin B(1) in its active form thiamin pyrophosphate (TPP) is an essential coenzyme that is synthesised by coupling of pyrimidine and thiazole moieties in bacteria.
Source: RNAcentral